UGGGGAAUAUUGCACAAUGGAGGGAACUCUGAUGCAGCGACGCCGCGUGAGUGAUGAAGGAAUUCGUUUCGUAAAACUCUGUUCUAUGGGAAGAAAAGGACUGUACCAUAGGAGAAAGCUCCGGCUAAAUACGUGCCAGCAGCCGCGGUAAUACGUAUGGAUCGAGCGUUGUCCGGAAUUAUUGGGCGUAAAGGGUGCGCAGGCGGCUUUACAAGUUGGAUGUGAAAUAUUGUGGCUCAACCACAAACGUGCAUCCAAAACUGCAAAGCUUGAGUUAAGGAGAGGUAAGUGGAAUUCCGGGUGUAGCGGUGGAAUGCGUAGAUAUCAGGAGGAAUACCGGUGGCGAAGGCGACUUACUGGACUUAAACUGACGCUCAGGCACGAAAGCGUGGGGAGCAAACAGG
Molecule: ribosomal RNA, 404 nt
Filed under: Fusobacteriota bacterium
Lineage: Bacteria; Fusobacteriati; Fusobacteriota
Description: Fusobacteria bacterium partial 16S ribosomal RNA
Rfam family: Bacterial small subunit ribosomal RNA
Source: RNAcentral